GAGGGUGUAGCUCAGUGGUAGAGCGCAUGCUUAGCAUGCACAAGGCCUGGGUUCCAUCCCCAGUACUUCUA
RNAcentral lists this transfer RNA (71 nucleotides) under Camelus bactrianus (Bactrian camel). It matches the Rfam family "tRNA". From Rfam's summary of the family: Transfer RNA (tRNA) molecules are approximately 80 nucleotides in length. Their secondary structure includes four short double-helical elements and three loops (D, anti-codon, and T loops). The record is from Rfam by way of RNAcentral. Lineage: Eukaryota; Metazoa; Chordata; Mammalia; Artiodactyla; Camelidae. RNAcentral also lists the same sequence under 2 other names.